Molecule: transfer RNA, 74 nt
Filed under: Thiovibrio frasassiensis
Lineage: Bacteria; Pseudomonadati; Thermodesulfobacteriota; Desulfobulbia; Desulfobulbales; Thiovibrionaceae
Description: tRNA-Gln
Rfam family: tRNA
About the family: Transfer RNA (tRNA) molecules are approximately 80 nucleotides in length. Their secondary structure includes four short double-helical elements and three loops (D, anti-codon, and T loops).
Source: RNAcentral
UGGGGGAUCGUCUAACGGUAGGACUGCAGACUCUGACUCUGCCUAUUGGGGUUCGAAUCCCUAUCCCCCAGCCA